RNAcentral lists this ribosomal RNA (378 nucleotides) under uncultured bacterium. RNAcentral's name for it is "bacterial SSU rRNA". It matches the Rfam family "Bacterial small subunit ribosomal RNA", at positions 521 to 896 of the family's 1533-position model. The record is from RNAcentral.
UAAUACGUAGGGUGCAAGCGUUGUCCGGAAUUAUUGGGCGUAAAGAGCUCGUAGGCGGUCUGUCACGUCGGCUGUGAAAACCCGAGGCUCAACCUCGGGCCUGCAGUCGAUACGGGCAAACUAGAGUACUGCAGGGGAGACUGGAAUUCCUGGUGUAGCGGUGAAAUGCGCAGAUAUCAGGAGGAACACCGGUGGCGAAGGCGGGUCUCUGGGCAGUAACUGACGCUGAGGAGCGAAAGCGUGGGGAGCGAACAGGAUUAGAUACCCUGGUAGUCCACGCCGUAAACGUUGGGCGCUAGGUGUGGGGGCCAUUCCACGGUCUCCGUGCCGCAGCUAACGCAUUAAGCGCCCCGCCUGGGGAGUACGGCCGCAAGGCUA